This 73-nucleotide transfer RNA is filed under the name Stegodyphus mimosarum. It matches the Rfam family "tRNA". Rfam says of the family: Transfer RNA (tRNA) molecules are approximately 80 nucleotides in length. Their secondary structure includes four short double-helical elements and three loops (D, anti-codon, and T loops). Lineage: Eukaryota; Metazoa; Arthropoda; Arachnida; Araneae; Eresidae. The record is from Rfam by way of RNAcentral.
GCCUUCGUGAUGUAAUUGGAAGCAUAAUUGACUCGUAUUCGAGGGCUCCAGGGUUCAAGUCCCGGCGAGGGCA